Molecule: long non-coding RNA, 1787 nt
Filed under: Podarcis lilfordi (Lilford's wall lizard)
Lineage: Eukaryota; Metazoa; Chordata; Lepidosauria; Squamata; Lacertidae
Source: RNAcentral
CUCGAUAUGUUGGAGUGCAGGAUCAGCAGCAUACACUCUUUGCUAUGCCUUAGGCAUGAAGUCCAACGUUGACAUAAAGAUGUGAUUCUGCGUUCUUGGGAUACACAGAGAGGUUGCACAGAGGGAGAAGACUUGACAGCAACUAAGGCUAAAACUUGGGCUUAGAUAGGCAUGUAGUAGAUCCAAAAGUGUGUUUAGGUGAGCCGGCAUGAUGACCAAUGAGAGGAGGUUAAAAUGAGGAAAUGAAAGGGGAUUGGAUAAAUUCCAGCUAGGUGUGCCUGGGCAUUGGGGAGGGGUUACAGGAGAGAAGACCCAGUAAUAUGGCAGGGAAGGUUCUGCUAAGAUGUAGAUUGGGGCAUGUAAACAAGGAUGAUUCAACUGGAAGAUUUAUCUUAUAAUGCUCUUUCUGAAUGUAUUUAUCUUUCAAGAACAAUAACUAUACCAAGUGUCGUCCUGGUGACUCAUGCUGUUUUUCUUGCAUAUGCCUAGUGUUCAUCAGUAUGCGGAUGAUACCCAGCUCUACCUCUCUUUCAAAUCAGAACCAGUGAAGGUGUUGAGGGUCCUAUGUGAGUGUCUGGAGGCGGUUGGGGGAUGGUUGGCGGCUAACAGAUUGAGGUUGAAUCCUGACAAGACAGAAGUACUGUUUUGGGGGGGACAGGAGGCGGGCAAGUGUGGAGGACUCCAUGGUCCUGAAUGGGGUAACUCUGCCCCUGAAGGACCAGGUGCACAGCCUGGGAGUCAUUUUGGACUCACAGUUGUCCAUGGAGGCACAGGUCAAUUCUGUGUCCAGGGCAGCUGUUUGCCAGCUCCAUCUGGUACGCAGGCUGAGACCCUAUCUGCCUGCGGACUGUCUCGCCAGAGUGGUGCAUGCUCUAGUUGUCUCUCACUUGGACUACUGCAAUGCACUCUAUGUGGGAACCUGGACUCCUCACAGCUGCCCUCAUUGCUGAAGCCUCACUUACUGGGGUUGAGUUGUGGGAGCUUCCAGCAAGUUCUCAUGAGAACUUUCUGGAAGCCGCUGCCAUGACACCCUAGUGAAAGGAGUGGGUGGGAUAAUGUGGGAUUCUGUCACCUGAGGCAGCUGCUUCCGCAUGCCUAAUGGGUAGUCCAUUUCUAUCUGCAUCUAUAUUUGUGUAAAAUUUCUGGUUUAUGGAGACAGUUUGUCUCUGGAGCUCAAUGCAGGGGCUUUUAGAUGCAUAAACCAUCAUUUGGUGACCUUUUGAUUACCAAUCAUUUUGCCUUAUUAUCGUUAUUGCAACCUAGCUCCCUGGUAGUCCAUCAGUCAACUUCCUGGAUACUCUGACCUCACUGACAAGAAGGCCAAGCAUAGAGAAAUCAACUACAAGACUGGAUGUAACAUCAAGAAAGAAUGGUCAUUCCCAUGUUCCUGUGCUUUAGCCAAAGCAAUCUUUGGUUCGCCCCAAACACAAAAUGGAAGCUAACAGCAAAAGCCUUGUAACAGCAUUUUCAGUCAUGAAGGUUGGUUUUGUGUGUUAUUUUACUGGUACAUCCAUGCAUGCGUGAAAAAUAGUAAAACACCACACACAAAAGGAUCUUGAUGCAGUCACAUGUAUGUACAAUUGCUUUUGCUUUUCCUUUUGCAGUGUUUUAUCACAGCAAAAUAGACGAGGAAAGAUUCACAAAUGCAUGAUAGGAACUCAAAGAGGCAGCAAAUUCCACAUGUACUGCAUUCAAUACAAAAUUUAAAGGGGGAAAAAGAACAAUGAAGGAUUCCUAAUGCAUCAGUUCCACUUUGGAAACAAGAUGAGAUAAUUCAGAACUACAGG